Molecule: long non-coding RNA, 763 nt
Organism: Acanthopagrus latus (yellowfin seabream)
Lineage: Eukaryota; Metazoa; Chordata; Actinopteri; Spariformes; Sparidae
Exons: 3
Source: RefSeq, a predicted model, not a curated record
GUGGGUGCUGUGCAUUUGAUGAAAUAGUCAGGCGGAGCAGAGAAGCUACAUGUGCAUGCUUUGAGAGUGAGAUAACAGACAUGUGGAAAUGACACUUGUUCUCAUUUUGAACCAUUCAAGGGGGAUCAAUCCUGAGGAGAGAAACAACCACUAUCUCUACUUUCCUGAGGACAGAACGCAAAAGGCAUGGAUCACUGAGGAAGGCGGGCUUUAGGACACACAGCUGCUGCUGCUGGCCGGCCCCAAACACCGUCCAGAAACUAUUCAGGGAAAGGGUGAGCAGAGGGACCUGGUGCCAGUGUACAGCUGCUCCACCCUUGCAGCGCCUCCCUGUGGUAAUACAGGGUAACUGUAGGGGCACUUGGCGCAGCCUCAGCCCACAUGAGAGAGAAGACACCUUGGAAGACCGAGAAUCAACGUUACAGCACUGCGUCCAGGGUUUCCACGACAACAAGGAAGAGAUGCUCCCUCCGACAAGGACGACCGAAGACAGGACAAGACGGAGAGCAUGUGGUGUUUGAGUCUGCACAGGCCAUAUUUGUUCAGACUACAAAGUGGCAUGAAGUGGUGUUUGGCUAAAAACUCACCUGUGCCUUUGAAGCUGUCACCAUGUGCUUCCUCUGCUGUUCGUGACGCCCCACACACACAACACUGAGGAGACUGUAUGACAAACUAAAAGAAGAGUGAAAAAGUGUUUUCCUUUUAUUUGAAACUUUAUCUGAGCUUGAAUUCAAUAAAAUGGAUCAAAAUGUAUGUAACAUGA